AAAAAGUUAGUUUAAUUUAAAACAUAGUUUUGUCAAAACUAAAAUAUUAGAUAUUAAUACUUUUUA
This 66-nucleotide transfer RNA is filed under the name Ectomocoris horridus. Its description in RNAcentral is "tRNA-Asp". The record is from RNAcentral. Lineage: Eukaryota; Metazoa; Arthropoda; Insecta; Hemiptera; Reduviidae.